RNAcentral lists this ribosomal RNA (253 nucleotides) under uncultured bacterium. RNAcentral's name for it is "partial 16S ribosomal RNA". It matches the Rfam family "Bacterial small subunit ribosomal RNA", at positions 524 to 776 of the family's 1533-position model. The record is from RNAcentral.
UACAGAGGGUGCAAGCGUUAAUCGGAAUUACUGGGCGUAAAGCGUGCGUAGACGGUUACAUAAGUCGGGUGUGAAAGCCCCGGGCUCAACCUGGGAAUUGCAUUCGAGACUGCGUAGCUAGGGUGCGGAAGAGGGAAGCGGAAUUUCCGGUGUAGCGGUGAAAUGCGCAGAUAUCGGGAAGAACACCCGUGGCGAAGGCGGUUCUCUGGGACGGUACUGACGCUGAGACGCGAAAGCGUGGGGAGCGAACAGG